Molecule: ribosomal RNA, 468 nt
Filed under: uncultured bacterium
Lineage: Bacteria
Description: partial 16S ribosomal RNA
Rfam family: Bacterial small subunit ribosomal RNA
Source: RNAcentral
GACGAACGCUGGCGGCGUGCUUAACACAUGCAAGUCGAACGGUAAGGCCCUGCUUUUGUGGGGUGCUCGAGUGGAGAACGGGUGAGUAUCACGUGAGUAACCUGCCCUUUACUUUGGGAUAACUUCAGGAAACUGGGGCUAAUACCCGAUAGGAGCUCCUGCUGCAUGGUGGGGGUUGUAAAGUUUCGGCGGUUCGGGAUGGACGGGUGGUUUAUCAUUUUGUUGGUGGGGUAGUGGCUUACCAAGGCGUUGACGGGUAGCCGGCCUGGGAGGGUGACAGGCCACAUUGGGACUGAGAUACGGCCCAGAGUGAAACGGGAGGCAGCGGUGGGGGAUAGUGCACGAUGGGCGGAAGCAUGAUGCAGCGACGCCGGGUGGGGGAUGACGGCCGUCGGGUUGUAAAGCGCUUGCGCCUGGGAAGAAGAGUGAGUGACGGUAAUGGGUAAAGAAGCACCGGCUAACUACGUG